UUUUUUAUUUUAGUGAACUCUUUUUAAAAAACCAAAUUAUCCAUUGAUAAUUCAGUUCACCAAGUUCAAAUUCGGUUCAUCAAAUCAUAAUUUUAGUUCACUAGAUUCACAUUCAGUUCACCACAAUUCUCAUCAUAAUCUUAUAGUUUAGUUCACUAAAAACACCAUCUAAUUCAGUUCAUUAAAAUAUGUUCAUCUGGAUUCAAGUUUUUAAUUCACGCAAAUCUAGUUCACCAAGUUCAAAUUUUGGGGGUCAUCAAAUCAUAAUUUUAGUUCAGUAGACUCAUAUUUAGUUCACUUCAAUACUCAUCAUAAUCUCAAAGUUCAGUUCACUGAAUUCAAAUUCAGUUCGUCUAAAUUUGUUCAUCUGGAUUCAAGUUUUAGCUCACGGAAAUAUAAUUCAUUUCAUGAUUUAUGUAUUCAAAAACCAGGCCAGUUGUUUUUUAUUUUAGUGAUUUAAAAAAAACAAAUUAUACAUUGAUAAUUCAGUUCACCAAGUUCAAAUUUGGUUCAUCAAAUUAUAAUUUUAGUUCACUAGAUUCACAUUCAGUUCACCACAAUUCUCAUCAUAAUCUUAAACUAUAGUUCACUAAAAAACACCAUCUAAUUCAAUUCAUUGAAUUUUAUAUAAUUUGCAUUCAAAAUUUAGUUCAUUAAAUUAGUUUUAUAUAAUUUUGAUUAAAAAUUUAGUUCAUGAAAUUUGCAAUGAAAACCCUGUUAGUUGUUUUCUAUUUUAUUAUAUUUCAUGGGAAAUAAAAGGUGUUCAAUCGAAUUCAAAAUUUGUUCAUCAACAGUCAGAUUAUAAUGAACCAAAUCCGUAUUUGGUUUUACAACACCGAUAAUCUAGUUCACUAGACUCAUAUUUAGUUCAUUUCAAUACUCAUCAUAAUCUCAAAGUUCAGUUCACAGAAUUCAAAUUUAGUUCAUCUAAAUUAGUUCAUCUGGAUUUAAGUUUUUAGUUCACGUAAAUCUAGUUCACCAAGUUUAAUUUUAGUUCAUCAAAUCAUAAUUUUAGUUCACUAGACUCAUAUUUAGUUCACUUCAAUACUCAUCAAAAUCUCAAAGUUUAGUUCACUGAAUUCAAAUUCAGUUCAUCAAAAUUAGUUCAUCUGGAUUCAAGUUUUUAGUUCACGCAAAUCUAAUUCAAUUCAUGAUUUCUGUAUUGAAAAACCAGGCCAGUUGUUUUUUCCUUUAGUGAACUUUUUUUUAAAAACCAAAUUAUACAUUGAUAAUUCAGUUCACCAAGUUCAAAUUCGGUUCAUCAAAUCAUAAUUUUAGUUCACUAGAUUCACAUUCAGUUCACCACAAUUCUCAUCAUAAUCUUAAAGUUUAGUUCACUAAAAAACAUUCAAGGUUUUAGUUCACGCAAAUCUAGCUCACUAACUUCAAAUUUUGG
RNAcentral lists this long non-coding RNA (1396 nucleotides) under Triticum aestivum (bread wheat). RNAcentral's name for it is "long non-coding RNA (TAES_LNC008329)". Lineage: Eukaryota; Viridiplantae; Streptophyta; Magnoliopsida; Poales; Poaceae. The record is from RNAcentral.